RNAcentral lists this ribosomal RNA (460 nucleotides) under uncultured bacterium. RNAcentral's name for it is "partial 16S ribosomal RNA". It matches the Rfam family "Bacterial small subunit ribosomal RNA", at positions 338 to 795 of the family's 1533-position model. The record is from RNAcentral.
CCUACGGGAGGCAGCAGUGAGGAAUAUUGGUCAAUGGGCGUUAGCCUGAACCAGCCAAGUCGCGUGAAGGAUGAAUGUCCUAUGGGUCGUAAACUUCUUUUAUAUGGGAAUAAAGUGUAGUACGUGUCCUGUUUUGUAUGUACCUUAUGAAUAAGGAUCGGCUAACUCCGUGCCAGCAGCCGCGGUAAUACGGAGGAUCCGAGCGUUAUCCGGAUUUAUUGGGUUUAAAGGGUGCGUAGGCGGCUUGUUAAGUCAGCGGUGAAAGUUUGCGGCUCAACCGUAAAAUUGCAGUUGAUACUGGGAGGCUGGAGUACGGUAGAGGCAGGCGGAAUGCGUGGUGUAGCGGUGAAAUGCUUAGAUAUCACGAAGAACCCCGAUUGCGAAGGCAGCCUGCCAAGCUAUGACUGACGCUGAUGCACGAAAGUGUGGGUAUCAAACAGGAUUAGAUACCCCUGUAGUC